Molecule: ribosomal RNA, 444 nt
Filed under: uncultured bacterium
Lineage: Bacteria
Description: bacterial SSU rRNA
Rfam family: Bacterial small subunit ribosomal RNA
Source: RNAcentral
GUGAGGAAUAUUGGUCAAUGGGCGGAAGCCUGAACCAGCCAAGUCGCGUGAGGGAAGAAUGGUCUAUGGCCUGUAAACCUCUUUUGAAAGGGAAGAAUAAGUGGCACGUGUGCCAUGAUGCCAGUACCUUUCGAAUAAGCAUCGGCUAACUCCGUGCCAGCAGCCGCGGUAACACGGGGGAUGCGAGCGUUAUCCGGAUUUAUUGGGUUUAAAGGGCGCGUAGGCGGGAUGCCAAGUCAGCGGUAAAAGACUGCAGCUAAACUGUAGCACGCCGUUGAAACUGGUGACCUAGAGAGAAGUCGAGGGAGGCGGAACAAGUGAAGUAGCGGUGAAAUGCUUAGAUAUCACUUGGAACCCCGAUAGCGAAGGCAGCUUCCCAGUCUUUGUCUGACGCUGAUGCGCGAGAGCGUGGGUAGCGAACAGGAUUAGAAACCCGUGUAGUCC